AGCAGCCGCGGUAAUUCCAGCUCCAAUAGCGUAUAUUAAAGUUGUUGCAGUUAAAAAGCUCGUAGUUGAAUUUCGGGAUCAGUACGCUGGUCGUGCCUUUGGUAUGUACUGGUGUCACUGAUUCCUCCCUUCUGAAGAACCGUUAUGCCAUUUAUUUGGUGUGGCGGGAAAUCAGGACUGUUACUUUGAAAAAAUUAGAGUGUUUAAAGCAGGCUCGCGCUUGAAUACAUUAGCAUGGAAUAAUGAAAUAGGACGUUUGAUCUUAUUUUGUUGGUUUCUAGGAUCGACGUAAUGAUUAAUAGGGAUAGUUGGGGGCAUUAGUAUUCAAUUGUCAGAGGUGAAAUUCUUGGAUUUAUUGAAGACUAACUACUGCGAAAGCAUUUGCCAAGGAUGUUUUCAUUAAUCAAGAACGAAAGUUAGGGGAUCGAAGACGAUCAGAUACCGUCGUAGUCUUAACCAUAAACUAUGCCGACUAGGGAUCGGAUGGUGUUAUUUUUAAUGACUCAUUCGGCGCCUUAAC
This 520-nucleotide ribosomal RNA is filed under the name uncultured Glomus. RNAcentral describes it as "SSU rRNA". It matches the Rfam family "Eukaryotic small subunit ribosomal RNA", at positions 569 to 1092 of the family's 1831-position model. The record is from RNAcentral. Lineage: Eukaryota; Fungi; Glomeromycota; Glomeromycetes; Glomerales; Glomeraceae.